This 493-nucleotide ribosomal RNA is filed under the name uncultured bacterium. Its description in RNAcentral is "partial 16S ribosomal RNA". It matches the Rfam family "Bacterial small subunit ribosomal RNA", at positions 30 to 523 of the family's 1533-position model. The record is from RNAcentral.
AUUGAACGCUGGCGGCAUGCUUUACACAUGCAAGUCGAACGGUAACAGGUUAAGCUGACGAGUGGCAAACGGGUGAGUAAUGCAUCGGAACGUGCCCGGUCGUGGGGGAUAACGCAGCGAAAGCUGCGCUAAUACCGCAUACGAUCUGAGGAUGAAAGCGGGGGACCGUAAGGCCUCGCGCGAUCGGAGCGGCCGAUGUCAGAUUAGGUAGUUGGUGGGGUAAAGGCUCACCAAGCCAACGAUCUGUAGCUGGUCUGAGAGGACGACCAGACACACUGGGACUGAGACACGGCCCAGACUCCUACGGGAGGCAGCAGUGGGGAAUUUUGGACAAUGGGCGAAAGCCUGAUCCAGCAAUGCCGCGUGCAGGAAGAAGGCCUUCGGGUUGUAAACUGCUUUUGUACGGAGCGAAAAGGUCUCCUCUAAUACAGGGGGCUCAUGACGGUACCGUAAGAAUAAGCACCGGCUAACUACGUGCCAGCCGCCGCAGUAA